UCCCUGGUGGCUCAGUUGGUAAAGAGUCUGUCUGCAAUGCGGGAAACCCAGGUUCGAUCCCUGGGUAGGGAA
This 72-nucleotide transfer RNA is filed under the name Bos taurus (domestic cattle). It matches the Rfam family "tRNA". From Rfam's summary of the family: Transfer RNA (tRNA) molecules are approximately 80 nucleotides in length. Their secondary structure includes four short double-helical elements and three loops (D, anti-codon, and T loops). The record is from Rfam by way of RNAcentral. Lineage: Eukaryota; Metazoa; Chordata; Mammalia; Artiodactyla; Bovidae. RNAcentral also lists the same sequence under 4 other names.